RNAcentral lists this ribosomal RNA (98 nucleotides) under Helianthemum alypoides. RNAcentral describes it as "partial 5.8S ribosomal RNA". It matches the Rfam family "5.8S ribosomal RNA", at positions 64 to 154 of the family's 154-position model. From Rfam's summary of the family: 5.8S ribosomal RNA (5.8S rRNA) is a component of the large subunit of the eukaryotic ribosome. Lineage: Eukaryota; Viridiplantae; Streptophyta; Magnoliopsida; Malvales; Cistaceae. The record is from RNAcentral.
GGUGUGAAUUGCAGAAUCCCGUGAACCAUCGAGUCUUUGAACGCAAGUUGCGCCCUAAGCCGUCAGGCCGAGGGCACGCCUGCAAAGAACGUCACGCA